Molecule: ribosomal RNA, 497 nt
Filed under: uncultured bacterium
Lineage: Bacteria
Description: partial 16S ribosomal RNA
Rfam family: Bacterial small subunit ribosomal RNA
Source: RNAcentral
GAUGAACGCUGGCGGCGUGCCUAAUACAUGCAAGUCGAGCGAACAGACGAGGAGCUUGCUCCUCUGACGUUAGCGGCGGACGGGUGAGUAACACGUGGAUAACCUACCUAUAAGACUGGGAUAACUUCGGGAAACCGGAGCUAAUACCGGAUAAUAUAUUGAACCGCAUGGUUCAAUAGUGAAAGACGGUUUUGCUGUCACUUAUAGAUGGAUCCGCGCCGCAUUAGCUAGUUGGUAAGGUAACGGCUUACCAAGGCGACGAUGCGUAGCCGACCUGAGAGGGUGAUCGGCCACACUGGAACUGAGACACGGUCCAGACUCCGACGGGAGGCAGCAGUAGGGAAUCUUCCGCAAUGGGCGAAAGCCUGACGGAGCAACGCCGCGUGAGUGAUGAAGGUCUUCGGAUCGUAGAACUCUGUUAUUAGGGAAGAACAAAUGUGUAAGUAACUAUGCACGUCUUGACGGUACCUAAUCAGAAAGCCACGGCUAACUACGUG